This is a non-coding RNA of Araneus ventricosus, 72 nucleotides long. Lineage: Eukaryota; Metazoa; Arthropoda; Arachnida; Araneae; Araneidae. The record is from the annotation of a GenBank genome assembly.
UUCCCAUGUCGAGAAUCGACCCCAUACGGCCUGGAUGAAAUCCAGGAAUCCUAACCACUAGACCAUAUGAGA